This 1374-nucleotide long non-coding RNA is filed under the name Homo sapiens (human). RNAcentral's name for it is "HSALNT0115430". The record is from RNAcentral. Lineage: Eukaryota; Metazoa; Chordata; Mammalia; Primates; Hominidae.
GGAAGAUUGUGUGAAGAGACAUGAGAGAAGAUGGCCAUCUACAAGCCAAGGAGGAAGUUCUCACAGCACUCAGAAGGAACCAACCCUGCUGGUAUCUUGGUUUGGACUUCCACCUCCAGAACAGUGCAACAGUAAACUUCCGUGGUUUAAGCAGCCCAGCUUGUGGUACUUUGUCAUGGCAGCCCCAGGAAACCUCAGAGGCAGCAAAGAGCUGCAUCUGCGUGCUCCUCUUACCCCGCGCUCAUCAGUUCCCUGUCCCCAGCAAGACCAGCAAAGGCCAUAAAACCCCAGCUGAGCCUGCAAGGCUGUCGCAGAGGCCCCACAGCCCGUGUUAAUGCGUUUGGGAGGUGUGUGAGAAUAAUACGGAAAAUUGUAUCACCUGGACUGCCAAAGAGAGUCACAGCAACACAGAGAAGACUAUAUAUUCCAAGGAUUGCAAUCAUGUUGCUCUCUGCUCAUAUUUUCAAACUGAGAAUCUGGAUAGAACAUGAACAGUUGGAUUGUGGAUGCAUUUCUUGUACCUUAAAUCGGGGAGACAGCAUCACUAAAAAACUCUCACAUAAUCUCUUUCCAUCUCUUCUUAUGAGUCUUCUACUAACUGCUAUUAACAGGAAAAGGACACUUUCCAAGAUAGGCCAAAAAGAGCUGUGUUGUUGAAGAUGUAUUUUUCUCCCUUUCAGCAGAGACAUUACUUCCUAACUGAAACAUAAGUCUAAAGUCAUAAAUUCAUUCUGGAUAUCUCAUUUCUGUGGAACAAACCCCCCCUCUUUUUUUUUUUGGUUUUGUUUUCUUGAGACAGUGUCUCGCUCUGUUGCCAGGCUGGAGUGCAGUGGCGCCAUCUUGGCUCACUGCAACUUCCGACUCCCUGGUUCAAGUGAUUCUCCUGCCUCAGCCUCCCAAGUAGCUGGGAUUACAGGCACGCACCACCACACCCAGCUAAUUUUUGUGUUUUUAGUAGAGACGGGGUUUCAGCAUGUUGGCCAGGAUGGUCUUGAUCUCCUGACCUCGUGAUCUGCCCCCCUCAGACUUCCAAAGUGUUGGGAUUAUAGGCGUGAGCCACCAUGCCCUGGCCAAACCCUUUUUAAGGAUAAACAACUUUAACAAAUAAAGAAAUAAGUUAAUGAAGUCUCAAGUUGCUAAAUUAAAUUUGAAAGUAUGUGAAAUUAACAAAGGGAAGGAAAAAUAACAGUCCUUCAGGAAAUUUCACAAGUUGUUUCAUUAAAAUAAGCUACAGUGAUUUAUAGAAAAGAAAAACUGAAAUCAGUAUCACAAUGGAUUAAAUUAGCUUCUUUUGUUAAUAGCUACAUGAAAACACUAUACAUUUUUUCUUUUACUUAUUAUUUUUUAAUAGAGAUGGGGUCUCGCUAUGUUAAC